UCCGAGUUGACCCCGGCAGUCUCCUAUGAGUCCCCACCAUGACGUGCUGGCAACAUAGAACGAGGGUUGCGCUCGUUGCGGGACUUAACCCAACAUCUCACGACACGAGCUGACGACGACCAUGCACCACCUGUGCACGGCCCUUACGGACCCCACAUCUCUGCGGGAUUUCCGUGCAUGUCAAGCCUAGGUAAGGUUCUUCGCGUUGCAUCGAAUUAAUCCACAUCAUCCACCGCUUGUGCGGGUCCCCGUCAAUUCCUUUGAGUUUUAGCCUUGCGGCCGUACUCCCCAGGCGGAACACUUAAUGCGUUAGCUUCGACACCGCAGGGGUCAAUACCCGCAACGUCUAGUGUUCAUCGUUUACAGCGUGGACUAC
This 376-nucleotide unclassified non-coding RNA is filed under the name uncultured Actinomycetes bacterium. RNAcentral's name for it is "uncultured actinobacterium contains 16S-23S intergenic spacer region". The record is from RNAcentral. Lineage: Bacteria; Bacillati; Actinomycetota; Actinomycetes.